This 467-nucleotide ribosomal RNA is filed under the name uncultured bacterium. RNAcentral's name for it is "partial 16S ribosomal RNA". It matches the Rfam family "Bacterial small subunit ribosomal RNA", at positions 28 to 506 of the family's 1533-position model. The record is from RNAcentral.
GACGAACGCUGGCGGCGUGCUUAACACAUGCAAGUCGAACGGAAAGGCCCUGCUUUUGUGGGGUGCUCGAGUGGCGAACGGGUGAGUAACACGUGAGUAACCUGCCCUUGACUUUGGGAUAACUUCAGGAAACUGGGGCUAAUACCGGAUAGGAGCUCCUGCUGCAUGGUGGGGGUUGGAAAGUUUCGGCGGUUGGGGAUGUACUCGCGGCUUAUCAGCUUGUUGGUGGGGUAGUGGCUUACCAAGGCUUUGACGGGUAGCCGGCCUGAGAGGGUGACCGGCCACAGUGGGAUUGAGAUAGGGCCCAGACUCAUACGGGAGGCAGCAGUGGGGAAUAUUGCAAAAUGGGCGGAAGCCUGAUGCAGCAACGCCGCGUGCGGGAUGACGGCUUUCGGGUUGUAAACCGCUUUCGCCUGUGACGAAGCGUGAGUGACGGUAAUGGGUAAAGAAGCACCGGCUAACUACGU